This 497-nucleotide ribosomal RNA is filed under the name uncultured bacterium. Its description in RNAcentral is "partial 16S ribosomal RNA". It matches the Rfam family "Bacterial small subunit ribosomal RNA", at positions 28 to 507 of the family's 1533-position model. The record is from RNAcentral.
GAUGAACGCUGGCGGCGUGCCUAAUACAUGCAAGUCGAGCGAACAGACGAGGAGCUUGCUCCUCUGACGUUAGCGGCGGACGGGUGAGUAACACGUGGAUAACCUACCUAUAAGACUGGGAUAACUUCGGGAAACCGGAGCUAAUACCGGAUAAUAUAUUGAACCGCAUGGUUCAACAGUGAAAGACGGUUUUGCUGUCACUUAUAGAUGGAUCCGCGCCGCAUUAGCUAGUUGGUAAGGUAACGGCUUACCAAGGCGACGAUGCGUAGCCGACCUGAGAGGGUGAUCGGCCACACUGGAACUGAGACACGGUCCAGACUCCUACGGGAGGCAGCAGUAGGGAAUCUUCCGCAAUGGGCGAAAGCCUGACGGAGCAACGCCGCGUGAGUGAAGAAGGUCUUCGGAUCGUAAAACUCUGUUAUUAGGGAAGAACAAAUGUGUAAGUAACUAUGCACGUCUUGACGGUACCUAAUCAGAAAGCCACGGCUAACUACGUG